Molecule: long non-coding RNA, 1812 nt
Organism: Alexandromys fortis (reed vole)
Lineage: Eukaryota; Metazoa; Chordata; Mammalia; Rodentia; Cricetidae
Exons: 3
Source: RefSeq, a predicted model, not a curated record
UCCAGGACUGGCUACAAAGCUACAGAGAAACCCCCCUGUCUGGAAAAACCAGCCCCCCCUCAAAAAAAAACCUUCUCCCUAAGAGAGGGUGGGCUUUAUAGGAUGAACAAGAAGUCUCCCUAGUCUUCAUUGCUUUCAGAGAAGAGAAGGUGAGGGGGCGGGGGUCCUAAGGGAGGGAAAUAGGAGACCACACCACAGGGAUGGAGGACAGUCUUUGAAGUCACAGACUGAGUGCAUCAUGAUGAAGAUUUAGCAUUGUGAUUUAUUUAAGUAUUGUGUGUGGGGGGGGUAGCUGGUGGGGUGUUGAGGGACCACUUAGGUUCUAUGAUACGAAAUUCCUUAAAGGCCUUCAAUUUCUGAGAUGUCCACUUCCUGAUCUUUGGGCAGUCCUCUGUAUAGUAGGAGACAUUUCUCAGUGGCCCAUGAGAAAUUAUACCACAGAGAAUACGAUCUGGAGGAAGGGGGCCCUCUGGCCUCUUACGCACCAAGGCCUGGGGAGCUGCUGAGAUUUACAGUUGCUCAGCGAGGUAUCUGUGGAGUGAAUGAGCAAGUGGGCAUCUCGGAUGGUACUCUGAAGAGUGAUUCUGGUGACUUGCUGAAUUCUCCUGGCCAUCAGCAAUGAAAUUAACAACACUCGUAGGCACAAACAGAUAGAAGCUAUGUGGUCCAUUUGUAUUCUGUUAAGUAGGAAAGAAAACCCAGAGUGGUACAGGUUACUGGUGUAGUAGGAAGGUUCUAUGUUGGUUUUUUUUUAAUGCUUGCUUAUUUACUUCUAUUAAAUAACUCAUUUUUAUUGUUUUGGAUUUAAAAUUAACUUAUUUGUCAUUUUAUGUCUAGGAGUGUUUUUCUUGCACGUAUGUCUGCGUACCAUGUGUGUGCCUGGUGACCAUGGAGGCCAGAACAAGGGCAUCAAUCCCCUGGUACUGGAGUUACAAAUGGAUGUGAGCUGUCAUGCGGGUGCUAGGAUUAGAACAGGGAACCUGUGUCCUCUGGAAGAGCAGCCAGUGUUCUUAACCACUGAGCCAUCUCUCCGUGUUUUUUUUUUUUUAUUUUUAAUGUGUAUAUGUGUGCCUGAAUGUCUGUGCACCAUUUACAUGCAGUGUCGAGGGAUGCCAGAAGAGGACAUCUGAUACCAGACCCAGAACUGGAGUUAACAAGUGGUUGUGAGCCCCCAUGUGGGUACUGGAACUGAAUCCAGGUCCUCUGCAAGAGCAGCAGGUUGUUUUUGAGUUUUUAUUUGAAAGACUGCUUUGAGGAAGAAGCCAGCGUGAGUUUGUUUUUUUUUUUUUCUCUCUCUGAUCCCUGCUGACUGACCAAGGACUUCAGGCUGUUUACACGUCUGCAGACAGAUGUUUCCUUCUGGGUCCCACCGCCACUCCCCUGAGGCCACUCACUCUGCACCUGAGCCACUUCCUACCGUAGGCACUCUCCAAAGAAACGUGGGUGACCAGCUGCAGAAGGCGACUCCUGACAGCCCUGCCUUCUGGGAUUUUCCCAGGACCUCCACACAGGCAUCACCCCAACUCCUAGAGACCCACCCUGUCUUCACAGACCUCACUCUCAGUAGCAGGAGUCCGUCACUGUUAAAGACCAACCCUUGCUUGUUGGAUAUUAGUUAUUCAAAUUGCUUCUGCUUGUAUGACAAGCACCCGGUCUCAAAGAGACGAAAAUGAAUCAUGGUGAGACAGAAAGUCCAGCCAACACCCCCAUCUUCCUCCUGCUACAACAGCACACGCCCCCUGAUGAUCCCCUGGGAUUCAUGGGCAAAGACGAGACUGGGGUUCUCUUUGUAAUUUCCAAGUUUCAGCCCGA